Molecule: non-coding RNA, 2395 nt
Organism: Sus scrofa (pig)
Lineage: Eukaryota; Metazoa; Chordata; Mammalia; Artiodactyla; Suidae
Source: RefSeq, a predicted model, not a curated record
UGAGGCCAGGGAUCGAACCCGCAAUCUCAUGGUUCCUAGUCGGAUUCGCUAAUUUUUAAAUUUAAUUUUAUUUAUUUAUUUUUUGUUAGUGACAUAUUGUUAAGUACAGUAGACAUUGAUUCAGAGUGACAGUCCCUCAGAAAACCAACAGCCAACAUCUCUUUCUCAGGGUGGGGUUAGAGUCUUGAAAUAUACACAGUGUUAUGAUGGCUGCUCUUGGAUGUACACGUGGCCAGAACUGAGAACCAAACAGCCGGAUUGCCAAAGGACUGGGGUGGGGGGCUUAUCUGAAGCUGUUCAGGGGUCGGUUUUUAGACGGAUUUGGCACACUCCAUUAAGCUGGGGGCUACUUUGGCAAAUGUAAAGCCGGACAAAACAGACAGGCGGCGGCAAGCUGCUUCCUUAGCGGGAACUUUCUGUUUGUUCGCACUUCACGCCUCUAUGUCAGCGACACUACUGCCUGGAUUUGCGUCUUUGACUGUUUCAGACAGAAAAAUGAAAGCAAACUUUUCUCACGCCCCAGUGGGUCAGUCUUGUAAAGCAGGCGUCGGGGAGGCAUGGAGGCAUCUGUGCGCGGCCCCAACCAUCAGGCGAGAUGCAGCUCAGGUGGCAGCGGUCUCGCUCCCUCCCCCGCGGCCUGACCCAUCAGCAAAGGGCCGGACCCUCCCCAAAGCCGCUCGGACCCACCCGCGCGCCCGGAGCCGCGGGAGCGCUCGGCGGGCACCCGGACGCAGGUGCGCGCCUCUCCGCCCUCGGCCGCCGCGCAGGCUCCCCGCCUGGCGGGGGAAGGCAGCGCUCGUCUCCGCGCCGCCCGGCAGGAAGCCCGGGGAAGGCCGCCACGAACGCCUGCGCCCCGGAGAUCGCGCCCGGGAGUCCGGGCCCGUUCCUUUUCUUCUCUGGACUCGUUUGGUCUCCACGCUGCUUCUGUCACGACAGGUGCUGGGAAAACAGCAUCAAGAAGACAGAUAAAAAUCCCGGUUCUCAGGAAGCUUAUAUUCUGGUGGAUAGAGGCUGAAAACAAACAUAUUCAUUCCGCUGCUUCCUUGCUACUGAUGAAUAUUCACCUUGCUGUCAGCAUUGUGCUGUUAUAAAUGGUAUAAAGAUGAGGACCGGCAGGGCAGGAGGUGAAGGAAGCGGCUCAAGUGUACACAGCAGGUGGGAAGGAGCAGCUAAAGCAGAUCCAAGGUCAAGGAGCUGUCCAGGCAGAAGAAUUGUGACACCUCCGGCUGAACAGUGGCCCCCAACCGUCGCCAGGUCCUAAUCCCUGAGGUUGGUGAGUGUUGCCUUACACGGUGAAAGGGACUUUGCUGUCGUGGUUAAGGGCAUUGAGGCGGGGAGGCCAUCCUGGAUUGUCAUCACGACGGGGGCAGAGGGACACUUGGGACAGACACGAAGACUGUGGCGGCAGAGGUUGGCCUGGUGGGGGGAGGGGCAGGAGCCCAGGUGGGGGUUAUGGGUGGGGGCUGGUGACCACCGGAGCUGGAAGGGCAGGAAACAGACUCUCCCCAAAGCUGAAGCCUCCAGAAGGAACGUAGUCCUGCCGACACCUUGGGCUUCUGACCUCUAGAGCUGCAAGAGAAGUUUGUGCCUCUGAAGCCACUAAGUGUGUAGUUAAUCUGACAGCAGCAAUACCUUAAGUGACUAUAGGAAGCGCCUGUGCUCUUUCUGGCCUUGGGUCUCUGUCCCAGCUGUCCUCUGCACACACAACUCCCUCCCCUGUCCCCUCUCAUCUCCUUCGGACUCUGCUAGAUUCCCCCGUGUCCCCAGGCCUGGUGUCGCCUCCUGCUGUGGUCCUUGAACCCAUUGUAUAAACCUCUGUUCAAACGCUUCUUACACUGUAGCAUAUCUGAUGUGCCCUUUUGCUCGUCUGAUUCUUGCUUUUGAUGAUGGAUUUCUUGACAGCAGGGAUCCUAUAGUUUGUCUUUUUCUAGCCCCAGGAAUUGUCUCAGGGUCUAGUAAAAUACGACGCAGUUCCUCCAAGUUUAUGGAAUAAUAGCAAACAAACAGAAGACCCCCCAGUAGGGUAUCACACCAUAUGAAGCCCCAUAGUAAAAGCAACAUGCUCCACCGUCCUGGGAUUCUGCAGCCAAGUUCUGACAGGCACAGGGGGCGGGGGCUGGGCCUUCCAGUCCGAUUCUCCCCAGGGAGGCUGAACUUGAACUGCCUGGUCUGUAGCAUCCUAAGUCCCGCAGCUUCCCAAGGGCUGUGCAGUCUGAACCCGUUACUCUGCCUGUGGAGGCUCACAGGUCAGCCCGUGAGGAAUGAGGUGAAGGGCGACCCCACUGAAACCGGAUCCAUUUGGUGCACCUGUUAGUCAGGGUCCUUUAAAUCACUCACCUUUCUUCUCAACACAAAGUCAGGUUUAUUUUUAUUUUUUUGUCUUUUGAGGGCCGUA